This 311-nucleotide long non-coding RNA is filed under the name Zostera marina. Its description in RNAcentral is "long non-coding RNA (ZMAR_LNC002698)". The record is from RNAcentral. Lineage: Eukaryota; Viridiplantae; Streptophyta; Magnoliopsida; Alismatales; Zosteraceae.
CAAUUAAUUAUUAAAUUUGACGGGUUUGCAUCAGUUGAUAUCAGUUUUUUUGAAUUGAUUGCAGCUUCUUGCAAAUCAGCUCCGAGCCAUUAAAGAGCAGCAGCUUCUCGGCAUAUGUAACCUGCAGCAGUCGUCUCAACAAGCAGAGGAUGCUUUGUAUGCUAGGUCGGAUGGACGAAACUCGGACAAUGUUUGACGAAGCUAAGAAAACCCAUUGAGUUUAGUAAUAGUAUUUUUUUUUAAUAAAAAUGGUUGUUUCCCAUUUCAAUUGUAUGCAUCAAAUAUUUGGGAAUUCUGAUGAUAAAUGUGAA